RNAcentral lists this ribosomal RNA (1456 nucleotides) under Lacticaseibacillus paracasei. Its description in RNAcentral is "Lactobacillus paracasei 16S ribosomal RNA". It matches the Rfam family "Bacterial small subunit ribosomal RNA". Lineage: Bacteria; Bacillati; Bacillota; Bacilli; Lactobacillales; Lactobacillaceae. The record is from RNAcentral.
ACGAGUGGCGGACGGGUGAGUAACACGUGGGUAACCUGCCCUUAAGUGGGGGAUAACAUUUGGAAACAGAUGCUAAUACCGCAUAGAUCCAAGAACCGCAUGGUUCUUGGCUGAAAGAUGGCGUAAGCUAUCGCUUUUGGAUGGACCCGCGGCGUAUUAGCUAGUUGGUGAGGUAACGGCUCACCAAGGCGAUGAUACGUAGCCGAACUGAGAGGUUGAUCGGCCACAUUGGGACUGAGACACGGCCCAAACUCCUACGGGAGGCAGCAGUAGGGAAUCUUCCACAAUGGACGCAAGUCUGAUGGAGCAACGCCGCGUGAGUGAAGAAGGCUUUCGGGUCGUAAAACUCUGUUGUUGGAGAAGAAUGGUCGGCAGAGUAACUGUUGUCGGCGUGACGGUAUCCAACCAGAAAGCCACGGCUAACUACGUGCCAGCAGCCGCGGUAAUACGUAGGUGGCAAGCGUUAUCCGGAUUUAUUGGGCGUAAAGCGAGCGCAGGCGGUUUUUUAAGUCUGAUGUGAAAGCCCUCGGCUUAACCGAGGAAGCGCAUCGGAAACUGGGAAACUUGAGUGCAGAAGAGGACAGUGGAACUCCAUGUGUAGCGGUGAAAUGCGUAGAUAUAUGGAAGAACACCAGUGGCGAAGGCGGCUGUCUGGUCUGUAACUGACGCUGAGGCUCGAAAGCAUGGGUAGCGAACAGGAUUAGAUACCCUGGUAGUCCAUGCCGUAAACGAUGAAUGCUAGGUGUUGGAGGGUUUCCGCCCUUCAGUGCCGCAGCUAACGCAUUAAGCAUUCCGCCUGGGGAGUACGACCGCAAGGUUGAAACUCAAAGGAAUUGACGGGGGCCCGCACAAGCGGUGGAGCAUGUGGUUUAAUUCGAAGCAACGCGAAGAACCUUACCAGGUCUUGACAUCUUUUGAUCACCUGAGAGAUCAGGUUUCCCCUUCGGGGGCAAAAUGACAGGUGGUGCAUGGUUGUCGUCAGCUCGUGUCGUGAGAUGUUGGGUUAAGUCCCGCAACGAGCGCAACCCUUAUGACUAGUUGCCAGCAUUUAGUUGGGCACUCUAGUAAGACUGCCGGUGACAAACCGGAGGAAGGUGGGGAUGACGUCAAAUCAUCAUGCCCCUUAUGACCUGGGCUACACACGUGCUACAAUGGAUGGUACAACGAGUUGCGAGACCGCGAGGUCAAGCUAAUCUCUUAAAGCCAUUCUCAGUUCGGACUGUAGGCUGCAACUCGCCUACACGAAGUCGGAAUCGCUAGUAAUCGCGGAUCAGCACGCCGCGGUGAAUACGUUCCCGGGCCUUGUACACACCGCCCGUCACACCAUGAGAGUUUGUAACACCCGAAGCCGGUGGCGUAACCCUUUUAGGGAGCGAGCCGUCUAAGGUGGGACAAAUGAUUAGGGUGAAGUCGUAACAAGGUAGCCGUAGGAGAACCUGCGGCUGGAUCACCUCCU